RNAcentral lists this ribosomal RNA (862 nucleotides) under Naegleria clarki. Its description in RNAcentral is "bacterial SSU rRNA". The stretch from base 8 to 650 matches the Rfam family "Eukaryotic small subunit ribosomal RNA", at positions 29 to 599 of the family's 1831-position model. Lineage: Eukaryota; Heterolobosea; Eutetramitea; Acrasida; Naegleriidae. The record is from RNAcentral.
UACUAUAUGCUUGUCUCAAAGCCUAAGCCAUGCAAAUCUAAGAUCAAUCAUAUGCGGUUUCGGCCGUGUAUAAUGAUAGUCUGUGGAAGGCUCAUUAUAACAGUUAUACUCCUAGCCACUGGAAAGUUUACAAGGAUACCACCGUUAACUGCAGCGAUAAUACUUGUUCCCUUCGGGGUGGUAAUAGUAUUUGUGCUGAAGCCUAGCUAUUGUAACCUAGUUUUUCGGGUGUGGCAACAUAUUCGGGGGAUUAGGAAUCGACCGCUAGCAGGUGCCUUCGGGCGCGGGAAAGUGAAUUAACAAGGUUUUCAUAGGGCCUUUCAGGUUUGCUUUUUCUAGUGGCCAGGCAGAGGAGUUUCUUACCUAUCAGCUCGUUGUUUGUUUAAAGGACAAACCAGGCUUUGACGGGUACGGGGAAUCAGUGUUCGAUUCCGGAGAGGGAGCCUGAGAAAUCGCUACCACAUCUAAGGACGGCAGCAGGCGCGCAAAUUACCCAAUCUCAAUACGAGGAGGUAGUGACAAGCUAUAGUGACUCCACACCAUUUGGUGGGGAGGUAUUGUCUUUUGACGAUUUUCCAUGAUUUGGGUGUAGAUAACCCUUAGAGUAGCCAUUGGAGGAAAAGUCUGGUGAACUGUUGCCAGAAAUAGUGACCCAGCAAUGGGGAGCUAGUCGCAUUGACCAAAAUUGAUUAUUUUGGUAGCGGCAAAACGAUCAAAUUGCGGGAAACGCUUCUUUUAAGCCUAACAGUACCGCUCGGCAACGAGCUAUGACAGGAGAAAAGCCUGUAGGAUGGUAACAAGCUGUUAGGUAUGGCGUAAUCCGCAGCCAAUCUGUUCGUUAACAAAUCCCUGUUAUUGAAGG